RNAcentral lists this long non-coding RNA (203 nucleotides) under Malus domestica (apple). Its description in RNAcentral is "long non-coding RNA (MDOM_LNC019680)". The record is from RNAcentral. Lineage: Eukaryota; Viridiplantae; Streptophyta; Magnoliopsida; Rosales; Rosaceae.
AGUUCAUAUGAGGAAGUAAGUACCAUCUGCUUUCGCAGAGAUCUAUAUUUGAUUCACGUUUCUGAAUGUGAAGCACCUUUUCUUCACUCAUAUAUCUUCUACUUCUUAUUAGUCACACUUUUACAACGAUUUGUAAAACAUAGUCACUAAUACGGAAUCAUGCAUUCAAGUAGAAGAACCAACUGUUUUGAACUAUUCAAGAA